UACGGGAGGCAGCGGUGGGGAAUAUUGCACAAUGGGCGCAAGCCUGAUGCAGCCAUGCCGCGUGUAUGAAGAAGGCCUUCGGGUUGUAAAGUACUUUCAGUCGUGAGGAAGGUGUUAAGGUUAAUAACCUUAGCAAUUGACGUUAGCGACAGAAGAAGCACCGGCUAACUCCGUGCCAGCAGCCGCGGUAAUACGGAGGGUGCGAGCGUUAAUCGGAAUUACUGGGCGUAAAGGGCACGCAGGCGGUUAAUUAAGUUGGAUGUGAAAUCCCCGGGCUUAACCUGGGAAUGGCAUUCAAGACUGGUUAGCUAGAGUCUUGUAGAGGGGGGUAGAAUUCCAUGUGUAGCGGUGAAAUGCGUAGAGAUGUGGAGGAAUACCGGUGGCGAAGGCGGCCCCUGGACAAAGACUGACGCUCAUGUGCGAAAGCGUGGGGAGCAAACGAGGAUUAGAUACCCG
RNAcentral lists this ribosomal RNA (456 nucleotides) under uncultured bacterium. Its description in RNAcentral is "bacterial SSU rRNA". It matches the Rfam family "Bacterial small subunit ribosomal RNA", at positions 340 to 789 of the family's 1533-position model. The record is from RNAcentral.